ACGCGUUCCCAUUAAGGAAAGGCCUAUUGAGAGACACUGAAAAGUUUUACUUGAUUAGUCUCAAUUUCCAGCCACCAUUAGCUGCUUUAAACAGGCCCGAGGUGACUACAAAUGAGCGUCCUCGCUUGGGCAAUAUUUACAACUUAGUUUCAAAACACAAUUAAAAAGAACUUGCACGGGAAAUGACAACAGAAAGGCCGUGCAACAGUGCAAACUGGGGUGUCUGACCGGGAAAUGCUCCACUGCAUGACUGAGGUGACCAGGCUCCGUAGCCGCGUGCACUGGUUACGGGCUACGCUCCUCUGGCUUCCUCCGGAGUCCUGUCUGGUCAGAGCUCCUGCAGACAGUGCAAUUUCUCAUUAUAUGGACCUUACAUGUCACAUCUGCAACAAGAUGGAGCUUACAAAGAGGCUCGUUUUUAAUGGAACUUUACCUGCUACAUUAAAGAUGUUCUUGUAUUGAUACAAACAGUAGCCGCUAUUAAAUAGUGCAGUUAUUUAUUUACAACUAACAAUGGCAUAGACUUAAGUUCCAGGGGGAAAAAAGCAAUUAGUGACUAAUCGUCAUUUUGUGUGUGUGUUUGUUUGUGCAUUUGAGACUGUACUAUCAGAGCUUUUUGGCUAUGCUAUAAAAUCAGGGUCUUAAGGGGAGUGAAACUUUGCACAUUACAUGGGCCUGUAGUAGCAGGGUAAUUGCUUAUCUUUCAGAAACUGAGAGGCAUUAAAGAAUUCAAACACUGGGGGUGUAAAUUAAAGAAAUUGCCAUGA
Molecule: long non-coding RNA, 767 nt
Organism: Carassius gibelio (silver crucian carp)
Lineage: Eukaryota; Metazoa; Chordata; Actinopteri; Cypriniformes; Cyprinidae
Exons: 3
Source: RefSeq, a predicted model, not a curated record